GUCGAACGAUUUACUUCGGUAAAGAGCGGCGGACGGGUGAGUAACGCCUGUAUAACCUGCCCUGUACACACGGAUAACAUACCGAAAGGCAUGCUAAUACGAGAUAAAAUAUUUUUAUCGCAUGGUAGAAAUAUCAAAGCUUUUGCGGUACAGGAUGGACCCGCGUCUGAUUAGCUAGUUGGUAAGGUAACGGCUUACCAAGGCGACGAUCAGUAGCCGACCUGAGAGGGUGAUCGGCCACAUUGGAACUGAGACACGGUCCAAACUCCUACGGGAGGCAGCAGUGGGGAAUAUUGCACAAUGGGCGAAAGCCUGAUGCAGCAACGCCGCGUGAGCGAUGAAGGCCUUCGGGUCGUAAAGCUCUGUCCUCAAGGAAGAUAAUGACGGUACUUGAGGAGGAAGCCCCGGCUAACUACGUGCCAGCAGCCGCGGUAAUACGUAGGGGGCUAGCGUUAUCCGGAAUUACUGGGCGUAAAGGGUGCGUAGGUGGUUUCUUAAGUCAGAGGUGAAAGGCUACGGCUCAACCGUAGUAAGCCUUUGAAACUGGGGAACUUGAGUGCAGAAGAGGAGAGUGGAAUUCCUAGUGUAGCGGUGAAAUGCGUAGAUAUUAGGAGGAACACCAGUUGCGAAGGCGGCUCUCUGGACUGUAACUGACACUGAGGCACGAAAGCGUGGGGAGCAAACAGGAUUAGAUACCCUGGUAGUCCACGCCGUANACGAUGAGUACUAGCUGUCGGAGGUUANCCCCUUCGGUGGCGCAGCUAACGCAUUAAGUAC
RNAcentral lists this ribosomal RNA (777 nucleotides) under uncultured bacterium. RNAcentral's name for it is "bacterial SSU rRNA". It matches the Rfam family "Bacterial small subunit ribosomal RNA", at positions 61 to 867 of the family's 1533-position model. The record is from RNAcentral.